GAUGAAGAACGCAGCAAAAUGCGAUAAGUAAUGUGAAUUGCAGAAUUCAGUGAAUCAUCGAAUCUUUGAACGCACAUUGCGCCCGCCAGUAUUCUGGCGGGCAUGCCUGUUCGAGCGUCAUUUCAACCCUCAAGCACAGCUUGGUGUUGGGACUCGCGUUAAUUCGCGUUCCUCAAAUUGAUUGGCGGUCACGUCGAGCUUCCAUAGCGUAGUAGUAAAACCCUCGUUACUGGUAAUCGUCGCGGCCACGCCGUUAAACCCCAACUUCUGAAUGUUGACCUCGGAUCAGGUAGGAAUACCCGCUGAACUUAAGCAUAUCAAUAAGCGGAUGA
Molecule: unclassified non-coding RNA, 332 nt
Filed under: soil metagenome
Description: partial contains 5.8S ribosomal RNA, internal transcribed spacer 2, and large subunit ribosomal RNA
Rfam family: 5.8S ribosomal RNA (bases 1-120)
Source: RNAcentral